RNAcentral lists this long non-coding RNA (240 nucleotides) under Cervus elaphus hippelaphus. It matches the Rfam family "7SK RNA", at positions 1 to 240 of the family's 331-position model. Rfam says of the family: 7SK was discovered as an abundant small nuclear RNA in the mid-70s but a possible function has only recently been suggested. Two independent studies have found that 7SK RNA binds the CDK9/cyclin T complex (known as elongation factor P-TEFb). The record is from RNAcentral. Lineage: Eukaryota; Metazoa; Chordata; Mammalia; Artiodactyla; Cervidae.
GGAUGUGAGGGCGAUCUGGUUGCGACAUCUGUCACCCCAUUGAUCGCCAGGGUUGAUUCGGCUGAUCUGGCUGGCUAGGCGGGUGUCCCCUUCCUCCCUCACUGCUCCAUGUGCAUCCCUCCCGAAGCUGCGUGCUCGGUCAAAGAGAACGACCAUCCCCGAUAGAGGAGGACCGGUCUUCGGUCAAGGGUAUACAAGUAGCUGCGUUCCCCUACUAGAACCUCCAAACAAGCUCUCAAG